CCUACGGGAGGCUGCAGUGAGGAAUUUUGGUCAAUGCGCGAGAGCCUGAACCAGCCAAGUCGCGUGAGGGAAGACGGUCCUAUGGAUUGUAAACCUCUUUUGUCGGGGAGCAAAAAGGCCUCAUGAAGCCACAAGUGAGAGUACCCUAAGAAAAAGCAUCGGCUAACUCCGUGCCAGCAGCCGCGGUAAUACGGAGGAUGCGAGCGUUAUCCGGAUUUAUUGGGUUUAAAGGGUGCGUAGGCGGGCAUUUAAGCCGGCGGUCAAAUGUCGGGGCUCAACCUCGGACUGCCGUCGGAACUGGGUGUCGUGAGUGGGCGAGAAGUAUGCGGAAGGCGUGGGGUAGCGGUGAAAUGCAUAGAUAUCACGCAGAACCCCGAUUGCGAAGGCAGCAUACCGGCGCCCUACUGACGCUGAGGCACGAAAGUGCGGGUAUCGAACAGGAUUAGAUACCCCUGGUAGUC
RNAcentral lists this ribosomal RNA (461 nucleotides) under uncultured bacterium. RNAcentral describes it as "partial 16S ribosomal RNA". It matches the Rfam family "Bacterial small subunit ribosomal RNA", at positions 338 to 795 of the family's 1533-position model. The record is from RNAcentral.